UACGUAGGGGGCAAGCGUUGUCCGGAAUCAUUGGGCGUAAAGCGCGUGUAGGCGGCCAGGUAAGUCCGUUCUGAAAGCCCGGGGCUCAACCCCGGGAGGCGGAUGGAUACUGCUUGGCUCGAGUCCGGAAGAGGCGAGUGGAAUUCCUGGUGUAGCGGUGAAAUGCGCAGAUAUCAGGAGGAACACCGGUGGCGAAGGCGGGUCUCUGGGCCGAAAUUGACGCUGAGGAGCGAAAGCGUGGGGAGCAAACAGG
This 253-nucleotide ribosomal RNA is filed under the name uncultured bacterium. Its description in RNAcentral is "partial 16S ribosomal RNA". It matches the Rfam family "Bacterial small subunit ribosomal RNA", at positions 524 to 776 of the family's 1533-position model. The record is from RNAcentral.